AGGACGAACGCUGGCGGCGUGCUUAACACAUGCAAGUCAAGGGGGCCCAGCAAUGGGCAACCGGCGAACGGGUGCGUAACACGUGAGCAACCUACCGAACUGUGGGGGAUAGCCGGCCUAACGGCCGAGUAAUACCGCAUACGCUCUCAGAGUGGCAUUUCUUUGAGAGGAAACCUACGGGACAGAUCGGAGGGGCCCGCGGCCUAUCAGCUAGUUGGCGAGGUAACGGCUCACCAAGGCAACGACGGGUA
RNAcentral lists this ribosomal RNA (251 nucleotides) under uncultured soil bacterium. RNAcentral's name for it is "partial 16S ribosomal RNA". It matches the Rfam family "Bacterial small subunit ribosomal RNA", at positions 26 to 285 of the family's 1533-position model. The record is from RNAcentral.